UGGGUGAAAAUUUGAGUUUAGGGGGUGCUUUUGAAAGAAAAAUUAGAAACAGGGGGUCAAAGUACAAAAAAAAUUCGAACGCGUGGGACGGCCUAGUCAGCAGCCCCGACGAAUCGGAACAUACCACGUGUCAAGACACGCUAACGUCGACACCACAUGAGAGGCCAUGUGAGCGAUCCGCAUGCCUAGCGAUCCGACGACCCAGGUUCGAUUCCACGCACGUGAACAACUCAAAUUCAUUCCUUCGUUAAGCACGAUCAGACGGACGAGAUCAAUCGCGAUGAACAAUUCAUAUUCAUUUCUUACUUAGGCACGAUCGGACGGACGAGAUCAAUCGCAGUGAACGGCCUAGAUCGAC
This 358-nucleotide long non-coding RNA is filed under the name Carica papaya (papaya). Its description in RNAcentral is "long non-coding RNA (CPAP_LNC003445)". The record is from RNAcentral. Lineage: Eukaryota; Viridiplantae; Streptophyta; Magnoliopsida; Brassicales; Caricaceae.